RNAcentral lists this ribosomal RNA (253 nucleotides) under uncultured bacterium. RNAcentral describes it as "partial 16S ribosomal RNA". It matches the Rfam family "Bacterial small subunit ribosomal RNA", at positions 524 to 776 of the family's 1533-position model. The record is from RNAcentral.
UACGUAGGGGGCAAGCGUUGUCCGGAUUUAUUGGGCGUAAAGAGCGUGUAGGCGGCCUGAAAGGUCAGCUGUGAAAACUCGAGGCUCAACGUCGAGACGUCGGUUGAAACCAUCUGGCUAGAGUCCGGAAGAGGAGAGUGGAAUUCCCGGUGUAGCGGUGAAAUGCGCAGAUAUCGGGAAGAACACCCGUGGCGAAGGCGGCUCUCUGGGACGGUACUGACGCUGAGACGCGAAAGCGUGGGGAGCGAACAGG